AGAAAAUGAGCCAAAUUUAGUGACGACUGGGCACUGCCUUGCCAGAAAGCCCCUCUGGUCUAUUCAUCCCACACAGAGGACACAGUCCUCGAUUGGGUCCUGUUCUGUUAGCAAAAUUACUUUUCGUUGCUCCUUUGACCACCAAGCAACGUGGCCACAUCUGAUGGGUACUGGGGGUCAGACCCUCUCUGGAGUCUGGAUGGCAUUUCUGCUGUUUUUCUGCUUCCUGUUAAACCUGGGAGUACAAAUUGCCCUCCUGAGACCCUCCUGAGGGUCCCAGUCUGGCCAGGUGGGCUUUGUCUUCUGUCCCCUGCAGGCUGAAGCACUCUGACACUGACUUUCCUCUGGGAAGACAGAGAAAAGCAGCAGCCCAGGGGGACCAGGGCCACCUCUGCUUUCAGGGUGAGGGGAGGAGGCCUGUAUGACACAGGGCCUGUCCCCUGCAGGGGACACCUGCGACACACAAAAAGAAGGCUUGCAAAAACUCAAACACAGAGACCAAAUUUCCAGAAUUCAAAAUUCCAUCGAGGCCCUCCCUGAGAAAAAGGAAAGACACUCUGAGAAGGAAGGCUGCAUUCUGGAAGGUCACAGGGGAGAGUGGGCUCAGAGUGAAGAGCGAAACACCAGGAAGAAGGGAAGGGCCCCCUGAAAAGACGAAGGGCUGGGGACCCAUCCUAGGGCCCUGCACUCUGGGCAGUCGCUUUCCUAAAGGAGAAGCGGUCAUUUAAGAAAUAUUAGAGUAGCAGAGAGAUGUGGAUCCCAGGCCUGAAAGGGCUCUGCCCAGGGAGUUGAGACUCAGACACUGCCAGCCUCCGGCCGCCUGCCCUGCCUGGUGGCACUCCAGGAGGAAGACCAAGCCUUGGGAGCUUCCAGAAAGCUCCCUGCCACAACACAGGCAGCUUCUCAUUUGCAUCCCUGGAAGUGAGAAGGGAGGAAACCAAUUUGCAGACUGGAGAGAAGGCAGCGGAGCGAGAAGAGGAACUGAGGGAAACAGACCAGAAAACGCUCUUGCAAGUUGAAGAUCAAAUUGGAACAGAAGUCUCCGAAGAACAAGAACGGAAGACAGCGAAGAGGAGAGGUUACAGCGACAAAGCUCAUUUACAGCUCCAUUGUAAUGGAGAAUACUGCGCGUGAGGAAUAUGGUGUAAUUAGGAGGGAUUCUUCAGACUCUACAAUCAGAUCCUGAGACUGAAACUAACAGCUCUGACUACAUCUGCGAGCCUCAGGGGUUGUCGGGGAGCGGCACCCCAGCAACAAAGGGGAAGUCAAAGUGUCUGGACUUCUCUUCUUGGGGAGGUGAAGCAGAAAGUAAGACCUCGGGGGUGGAAUAUUUUUCAUAUUUAACUUGGAUAUGGCAAGAGAGAAUCAAAGGCUUAAAUAAGGUUCAGAGGCCAACGUUAAGCAUCCUUCACCGGUCAAACCAUGACUGGGACGUGCAGUCCUAGAGCCCCUGGCCAGGGCAGCUACACUGACCCCUGUGUCCAGCAGGGAUGGUGUGGCCCUGGGCCAGUUGCUGGGGUAGGUGGCAGCUGAGUCCUCCACUUCCUGGUUGUGCUAGAAAUAGUGGAUCCCUUUUGGGUCAGCUCCGUGGGGUGGCUUGGACAGUCACUUCCAAAAGCUCAGCCCAAACCUGCUCCCCCAGCUUCUCUGACAAUUUUGUAGGCACUGAACUUCUUGUAUAAAUUUCUCUAUGAUUAAAC
Molecule: long non-coding RNA, 1700 nt
Filed under: Marmota monax (woodchuck)
Lineage: Eukaryota; Metazoa; Chordata; Mammalia; Rodentia; Sciuridae
Source: RNAcentral